AUACGUAGGUGGCAAGCGUUGUCCGGAUUUAUUGGGCGUAAAGCGAGCGCAGGCGGUCUCUUAAGUCUGAUGUGAAAGCCCCCGGCUCAACCGGGGAGGGUCAUUGGAAACUGGGAGACUUGAGUGCAGAAGAGGAGAGUGGAAUUCCAUGUGUAGCGGUGAAAUGCGUAGAUAUAUGGAGGAACACCAGUGGCGAAGGCGGCUCUCUGGUCUGUAACUGACGCUGAGGCUCGAAAGCGUGGGGAGCAAACAGGAUUAGAUACCCUGGUAGUCCACGCCGUAAACGAUGAGUGCUAAGUGUUGGAGGGUUUCCGCCCUUCAGUGCUGCAGCUAACGCAUUAAGCACUCCGCCUGGGGAGUACGGCCGCAAGGCUGAAACUCAAAGGAAUUGACGG
RNAcentral lists this ribosomal RNA (395 nucleotides) under uncultured bacterium. RNAcentral's name for it is "partial 16S ribosomal RNA". It matches the Rfam family "Bacterial small subunit ribosomal RNA", at positions 523 to 916 of the family's 1533-position model. The record is from RNAcentral.